RNAcentral lists this ribosomal RNA (439 nucleotides) under uncultured bacterium. RNAcentral describes it as "partial 16S ribosomal RNA". It matches the Rfam family "Bacterial small subunit ribosomal RNA", at positions 339 to 795 of the family's 1533-position model. The record is from RNAcentral.
CUACGGGAUGCACCAGUGGGGAAUCUUGGACAAUGGGCGCAAGCCUGAUCCAGCCAUGCCGCGUGAGUGAAGAAGGCCUUAGGGUCGUAAAGCUCUUUCGCCAGAGAUGAUAAUGACAGUAUCUGGUAAAGAAACCCCGGCUAACUCCGUGCCAGCAGCCGCGGUAAUACGGAGGGGGUUAGCGUUGUUCGGAAUUACUGGGCGUAAAGCGCGCGUAGGCGGAUUAGUCAGUCAGAGGUGAAAUCCCAGGGCUCAACCCUGGAACUGCCUCUGAUACUGCUAGUCUUGAGUUCGAGAGAGGUGAGUGGAAUUCCGAGUGUAGAGGUGAAAUUCGUAGAUAUUCGGAGGAACACCAGUGGCGAAGGCGGCUCACUGGCUCGAUACUGACGCUGAGGUGCGAAAGUGUGGGGAGCAAACAGGAUUAGAUACCCUCGUAGUC